This 400-nucleotide ribosomal RNA is filed under the name uncultured bacterium. Its description in RNAcentral is "bacterial SSU rRNA". It matches the Rfam family "Bacterial small subunit ribosomal RNA", at positions 355 to 748 of the family's 1533-position model. The record is from RNAcentral.
UGGGGAAUAUUGGACAAUGGGCGAAAGCCUGAUCCAGCAAUACCGCGUGUGUGAAGAAGGCCUGAGGGUUGUAAAGCACUUUCAAUAGGAAGGAAUACCUACGGGUUAAUACCUCGUAGACUGACAUUACCUAUACAAGAAGCACCGGCUAACUCCGUGCCAGCAGCCGCGGUAAUACGGAGGGUGCAAGCGUUAAUCGGAAUUACUGGGCGUAAAGCGUGCGUAGGCGGUUUUUUAAGUCAGAUGUGAAAGCCCCGGGCUUAACCUGGGAAUGGCAUUUGAUACUGGAAGACUUGAGUUUAAGAGAGGGGAGUGGAAUUUCAGGUGUAGCGGUGAAAUGCGUAGAGAUCUGAAGGAACACCAGUGGCGAAGGCGGCUCCCUGGCUUAAAACUGACGCUG